GACGAACGCUGGCGGCGUGCUUAACACAUGCAAGUCGAACGGAAAGGCCCUGCUUUUGUGGGGUGCUCGAGUGGCGAACGGGUGAGUAACACGUGAGUAACCUGCCCUUGACUUUGGGAUAACUUCAGGAAACUGGGGCUAAUACCGGAUAGGAGCUCCUGCUGCAUGGUGGGGGUUGGAAAGUUUCGGCGGUUGGGGAUGGACUCGCGGCUUAUCAGCUUGUUGGUGGGGUAGUGGCUUACCAAGGCAUUGACGGGUAGCCGGCCUGAGAGGGUGACCGGCCACAUUGGGACUGAGAUCCGGCCCAGACUCCUACGGGAGGCAGCAGUGGGGAAUAUUGCACAAUGGGCGGAAGCCUGAUGCAGCAACGCCGCGUGCGGGAUGACGGCCUUCGGGUUGUAAACCGCUUUCGCCUGUGACGAAGCGUGAGUGACGGUAAUGGGUAAAGAAGCACCGGCUAACUACGUG
RNAcentral lists this ribosomal RNA (468 nucleotides) under uncultured bacterium. RNAcentral describes it as "partial 16S ribosomal RNA". It matches the Rfam family "Bacterial small subunit ribosomal RNA", at positions 28 to 507 of the family's 1533-position model. The record is from RNAcentral.